RNAcentral lists this transfer RNA (72 nucleotides) under Loxodonta africana (African savanna elephant). It matches the Rfam family "tRNA". From Rfam's summary of the family: Transfer RNA (tRNA) molecules are approximately 80 nucleotides in length. The record is from Rfam by way of RNAcentral. Lineage: Eukaryota; Metazoa; Chordata; Mammalia; Proboscidea; Elephantidae.
GCCCUGGUAGCUCAGUGGUUAAAGCAUUCGACUGCUAACCAAAAGGUCAGUGGUUUGAAACCACCAGUGGCU